This is a long non-coding RNA of Eleginops maclovinus (Patagonian blennie), 2699 nucleotides long. RefSeq lists it as uncharacterized. NCBI's taxonomy places the organism in Eukaryota, Metazoa, Chordata, Actinopteri, Perciformes, Eleginopidae. The record is from RefSeq and is a predicted model, not a curated record. The transcript has 6 exons.
CCGAGGGAGCUGUGAGGGAAAUUUAAAUGUGGCUUUCCAAAGGCAGCAUGAGAGAGAAUAUUGAGUGGCUGGUUUUCAUUUGGGGAAAUACUGAAUUUCUGUCCAAAUUACUGGAGUUCAGGCCAUUUUUGGAUCUUAUUGCAGUGUUCCCCAUCACACUGUCAGACAGAGGGUGAUCCUGGGGGCAGCAGAGGUCACUGGAUAAAGUUGUACUGCCUGUGCUGUCACUGCUCUGAGGAAGACCUGCUAUUCACUCAACACACAAGUCACCAGCGAACACUGCCGGCGCUCCUCAAGAACGAAGGCACUAUCUGCACACAUCAGGCAGCGUGUUAUAAGAAAGGGUGACAUUGAACAGUGAGGGAAGCUCCUGGUUUACUGACAGGACAAUUAGAGGAAGCAAAUCUGAGCUGAAUAUUCCAGAUAGGGUGGGCAUGCAGCAGGGUGACGGACACCUCCAGGGGCACCAUAGGGGUGUACGUGCUGAUUGGUUUAUCUGGGAGAAGUGCACAGGAAGCAAAGCAGUGACAUGCUCGACAGGCUUGAAUCAUUCACGAGACAAAAGUGAGGGCGCGGCCUGAUGAAGAUGUAAGGUAAUAUCCCAGCAGCACACAAGGUUAGGGGUGCCAAUUAACCCCAGAUGGAUGGAGUCGCCCACACGAGAGGUGACGUGAGGAGCCCUGAUGAGAAUUCCACUAAUCAGCUGAGGAUUAACAGGGACUCAGACAACACUACAUCUAAUUCCCCCUUCACAGCCACUGGGGCAACAAGAGGGCCCCACGCAGCACUGCAGCACACCACCAAUGAACACACCACUAUACAUGUGUGUGCAACUAUUUCUAUUGUGAUAUAACAAAGAAUUUCACCUGUUGAUUUAGACAUCAUGAGUCUUUAGGUAUUCAUUUAGAUGCUCCAUCGUGCUAACUCUGUCUUGAAAAGUGUUUAAAUUCUAGUAGUUUUCCCAAGUAAAUGUAAGUGCUGCCUGGAUUUUAAUCAGGGCCAACAUUUUGCUAUGUUUUUGUAUUAGUCGAAAAAAACUUAGGGCAGUAAAAAAAAAAUGCGUACGAGCAGGGGAUCGGGUUUUGAAUUCUGAAUCCAGAGUGUUCCGGUUUAGGCAGAAAAAAGUGUUUUGGUAUGCUGGAAACUUUAGUUUUUCACUUCCGAGCUCAUUUAAUCGUCAUUCCCCAGAUUGAAAUGGCCAUUUUUCAGGAUCUCCACAUUUUAGGAUCUAAUUUCUUGCUUUUCUCUGUUGGCUAUCACAUUAAAUUGAAUAACAAAUAAGAAUAGAUUUAGAGACAUCACCGCAGACUUUGAGGAGCUACAUUUUUUUAUAUUUCCUGACAAUUUAUAGACUAACUAUUAAUCUAAUAAUAAAAUAUGAAUUGGCUGAUUAAUUGAUAAUGAAAAUAAUCAUUACUUGAAGCCCUUUUUCAGAUAGAUUUUUAUAACCAAACAUAUCCAAGCUCUUGCUUUAAGUCGUAGUUGACUUCAAAAAUAUACAUCCCAUGUUUCCCUAACCUGGAAAAAUCUCUAUGCUUAAAAUGUGUUGCUGUUUCUUUGAUUGAAAUAGGAACUUGUGAAGUUUACAUGCAUUUUAUUGUUUUGCAUUUACUAACCAAUUUAUUCAAAACAACUAAUGGACCUCUGAAAGAGUUUAUGUGAUUGGGCAGUUCUUUGUGUAACUGGGUGCAGGGAUGUUGCCCUACGCUUGAAAAAUGAAUGACUCAUGCUGGGUAAAACACUAUUGGCUCUUCAAACGCAACAGGACUUAUUGUUUAGGCCUUCAUGUUUUCUUAUGGUUCUGUCUGAGAUGAGCAUAGGGUGUAAUCCUGUGUGCUUGGAUAAGAACACGUUGGUCGGCUUGUGUUUUUGUGUGACACUGGCAUCAUGAACUCAUUCAUUUUAAUACCAAGGCUCACCAGCCAGGUCAUGCUGGGCCACCCACAAAGCAAAAAAAAAAAAAUCUGAACAUCAAGAGUGUGCAGUUUCACACUGCAGAGGUGGGACAUGUGAUGUUUUACAGUCAGUAUGUCUGCAUCUUCUUUAUAUUAAUGCAUCAAACCGUGCAUUUUGCCUGAUGCACAGAUCACGAUAAUAUAUUAGAGGCAUCAGGGGUAAGUGGGUUGCAUUUUCAGCCUGGUUAAGUACAUUUUGGCAGCGGUCCCGUGCUAUCUCGGAGACAGGUUGGCUUCCCAGCCUCCCACAGUUUCGCAGUAAUGAAGGAGCUGUCUUACCCAAACAAACAGGCUCUCUGGAGAUGUACCUCAACUACCUCCUUAAUCCAGGAAGUCUCUCUUAUCUCUGCACAAAUGGCCCCGUAGUGAGGCACCGCACACUGCAAUGUCAUUCAUCAGUUAAACCCCAGGGCGAUGAGCAGGUACGAUUGCUUCAAGAUAAGAAAGUGAAAAGUGACAGCAUGCGCUCUGGAGGCGUAAAUCAGAGCUUCGAGCUCAGGUUUUUGUCGAUCAGACGUCAAUCUAUGUGUCACUGUUCUGAAUCCACAAAGAAUAAUGUGCUUGUGUUUUUCAUUGGCAGAUAUCAAUACCUCUAUUACCCAAGUCCCCCUGCUGUGAUGGUGUUGUUGUGUUGGUCAUUGAGGAUUUUAAGAUUACUCUACUGCAGCAUUCAUCAUAAAUCGUCCAAGACGAGAUUCUGUUCAAUACAGUUAAAAAAAAUGUAUGCUUCUCAUAGAAUAGAAC